Molecule: non-coding RNA, 76 nt
Filed under: Spumella elongata
Lineage: Eukaryota; Chrysophyceae; Chromulinales; Chromulinaceae
Source: RNAcentral
GAUGUGAAGAUUAAAGUGCCCAACGACGAAGCGAUGUGUGCGGAAUGUUACAUGAUGAAACGAGGUAAGAAACCCC